UCACCCCUCAAGCUCCGUGCUUGGUGUUGGACGGCCUGGCUGGGCGCGCUGCCCGGCUCCUCCUAAAGACAAUGACGGCGGUCCGUGGAACCCCCGGUACACUGAGCUUUCUUUAACGAGCACGUACCGGAAAGAGGGCGCCCGGACGACGGUCUGAAACCCCCAUAUUUCUCAA
Molecule: unclassified non-coding RNA, 175 nt
Filed under: uncultured Cladophialophora
Lineage: Eukaryota; Fungi; Ascomycota; Eurotiomycetes; Chaetothyriales; Herpotrichiellaceae
Description: sequence contains ITS2
Source: RNAcentral